UCGGGGCGUGGCGCAGCUUGGUAGCGCACUACUUUGGGGUAGUAGGGGUCGUGGGUUCAAAUCCCGCCGCUCCGAU
This 76-nucleotide transfer RNA is filed under the name Synechococcus sp. MIT S9504. Its description in RNAcentral is "tRNA-Pro". It matches the Rfam family "tRNA". From Rfam's summary of the family: Transfer RNA (tRNA) molecules are approximately 80 nucleotides in length. Their secondary structure includes four short double-helical elements and three loops (D, anti-codon, and T loops). Further hydrogen bonds mediate the characteristic L-shaped molecular structure. tRNAs have two regions of fundamental functional importance: the anti-codon, which is responsible for specific mRNA codon recognition, and the 3' end, to which the tRNAs corresponding amino acid is attached (by aminoacyl-tRNA synthetases). tRNAs cope with the degeneracy of the genetic code in two manners: having more than one tRNA (with a specific anti-codon) for a particular amino acid; and 'wobble' base-pairing, i.e. permitting non-standard base-pairing at the 3rd anti-codon position. The record is from RNAcentral. Lineage: Bacteria; Bacillati; Cyanobacteriota; Cyanophyceae; Synechococcales; Synechococcaceae. RNAcentral also lists the same sequence under 3 other names.